CUUGGUCAUUUAGAGGAAGUAAAAGUCGUAACAAGGUUUCCGUAGGUGAACCUGCGGAAGGAUCAUUAUCGUAAAACUGAGGCGCGAGGGCUGUCGCUGACCUGAACUCAGGUUGUGCACGUCCGAGCGUCCUCAUACAUCCAUCUCACCCCUAUGUGCACCACCGCGCGGGUCUUCCUUUGGCUCGUCCGAAGGGGGGCUUACGUUUUCACACAAACUUUGUAUGCAGUGUAGAAUGUACCUUUGUUUUGCGAUCACGCAAUUAAUACAACUUUCAACAACGGAUCUCUUGGCUCUCGCAUCGAUGAAGAACGCAGCGAAAUGCGAUACGUAAUGUGAAUUGCAGAAUUCAGUGAAUCAUCGAAUCUUUGAACGCACCUUGCGCCCCUUGGCAUUCCGAGGGGCACACCCGUUUGAGUGUCGUGAAAUUCUCAAAACCCUUUUCUUUUUGGGAGAAGGGUUUUGGACUUGGAGGCCUUUUGCUGGCUUUGCCUUGAAGCCAGCUCCUCCUAAAUGAAUUAGUGGGGUCCACUUUGCCGAUCCUUGACGUGAUAAGAUGUUUCUGCGUCUUGUGGUUUGACACUGUCACCCGCUUCUAAUCGUCUCAUUGACAAUUGAUGGUGUUCCGGUCACCACCUCUCUAUGGGGUGGUUGGCUUGACCCACAACAUGACCUUGACCUCAAAUCGGGUGAGACUACCCGCUGAACUUAAGCAUAUCAAUAAGCGGAGGAAAAGAAACUAACAAGGAUUCCCCUAGUAACUGCGAGUGAAGCGGGAAAAGCUCAAAUUUAAAAUCUGGUGGCCUUUGGCCAUCCGAGUUGUAAUUUAGAGAAGCGUCUUCCGCGCUGGACCGUGCACAAGUCUCCUGGAAUGGAGCGUCGUAGAGGGUGAGAAUCCCGUCUUUGGCACGGACAACCAGGGCUUUUGUGAUGCGCUCUCGAAGAGUCGAGUUGUUUGGGAAUGCAGCUCAAAAUGGGUGGUGAACUCCAUCUAAAGCUAAAUAUUGGCGAGAGACCGAUAGCGAACAAGUUCCGUGAGGGAAAGAUGAAAAGCACUUUGGAAAGAGAGUGNACCUNUUAAAANGGNAUUGUUGAAAGGGAAACGCUUGAAGU
RNAcentral lists this ribosomal RNA (1113 nucleotides) under uncultured Basidiomycota. RNAcentral describes it as "eukaryotic LSU rRNA". The stretch from base 676 to 1113 matches the Rfam family "Eukaryotic large subunit ribosomal RNA", at positions 1 to 429 of the family's 3401-position model. The record is from RNAcentral. Lineage: Eukaryota; Fungi; Basidiomycota.